GUAGGUGGCAAGCGUUGUCCGGAAUUAUUGGGGCGUAAAGCGCGCGCAGGCGGUUCUUUAAGUCUGAUGUGAAAGCCCACGGGCUCAAACCGUGGGAGGGGUCAUUGGAAACUGGAGAACUUGAGUACAGAAGAGGAAAGCGGAAUUCCACGUGUAGCGGUGGAAUGCGUAGAGAUGUGGAGGAACACCAGUGGCGAAGGCGGCUUUCUGGUCUGUAACUGACGCUGAGGCGCGAAAGCGUGAGGAGCAAACAGGAUUAGAUACCCUGGUAGUCCACGCCGUAAACGAUGAGUGCUAAGUGUUAGGGGGUUUCCGCCCCUUAGUGCUGCAGCUAACGCAUCAAGCACUCCGCCUGGAGAGUACGGCCGCAAAGGCUG
Molecule: ribosomal RNA, 377 nt
Filed under: uncultured organism
Description: partial 16S ribosomal RNA
Rfam family: Bacterial small subunit ribosomal RNA
Source: RNAcentral